RNAcentral lists this ribosomal RNA (197 nucleotides) under uncultured bacterium. Its description in RNAcentral is "partial 16S ribosomal RNA". It matches the Rfam family "Bacterial small subunit ribosomal RNA", at positions 328 to 539 of the family's 1533-position model. The record is from RNAcentral.
ACGCUCGACACCUACGGGGAGGCAGCAGUGGGGAAUAUUGCACAAUGGGGGAAACCCUGAUGCAGCGACGCCGCGUGGAGGAAGAAGGUCUUCGGAUUGUAAACUCCUGUUGUUGGGAAAAGAGGAUGGUACCCAACAAGGAAGUGACGGCUAACUACGUGCCAGCAGCCACGGUAAUCUGAGCGGGCUGGCAAGGC